CCUACGGGUGGCAGCAGUAGGGAAUAUUGCUCAAUGGGGGAAACCCUGAAGCAGCAACGCCGCGUGGAGGAUGAAGGUUUUCGGAUUGUAAACUCCUUUUGUUAGAGAAGAUAAUGACGGUAGCUAACGAAUAAGCACCGGCUAACUCCGUGACAGCAGCCGCGGUAAUACGGAGGGUGCAAGCGUUACUCGGAUUCACUGGGCGUAAAGAGCGCGGAGGCGGGAUAGCAAGUCAGAUGUGAAAUCCUAUGGCUUACCCAUAGAACUGCCUUUGAAACUGUUAUGCUAGAGUACGGGAGGGGUAGGAGGAAUUCGUGGUGUAGGGGUGAAAUGCGUAGAGAUCAGGAGGAACACUCAUUGCGAAGGCGACCUGCUAGACCGCAACUGACGCUGAUGCGCGAAAGCGUGGGGAGCAAACAGGAUUAGAUACCCCAGUAGUC
This 440-nucleotide ribosomal RNA is filed under the name uncultured bacterium. Its description in RNAcentral is "partial 16S ribosomal RNA". It matches the Rfam family "Bacterial small subunit ribosomal RNA", at positions 338 to 795 of the family's 1533-position model. The record is from RNAcentral.